RNAcentral lists this ribosomal RNA (2487 nucleotides) under Listeria monocytogenes serotype 1/2a. RNAcentral's name for it is "bacterial LSU rRNA". It matches the Rfam family "Bacterial large subunit ribosomal RNA", at positions 408 to 2892 of the family's 2925-position model. The record is from RNAcentral. Lineage: Bacteria; Bacillati; Bacillota; Bacilli; Caryophanales; Listeriaceae.
CUGAGUACGGCGGAACACGUGAAAUUCCGUCGGAAUCCGGGAGGACCAUCUCCCAAGGCUAAAUACUCCCUAGUGACCGAUAGUGAACCAGUACCGUGAGGGAAAGGUGAAAAGCACCCCGGAAGGGGAGUGAAACAGUUCCUGAAACCGUGUGCCUACAAGUAGUUAGAGCCCGUUAAUGGGUGAUAGCGUGCCUUUUGUAGAAUGAACCGGCGAGUUACGAUUUGUUGCAAGGUUAAGCGGAAAAAGCGGAGCCGUAGCGAAAGCGAGUCUGAAUAGGGCGCAUAAGUAACAGGUCGUAGACCCGAAACCAGGUGAUCUACCCAUGUCCAGGAUGAAGGUAAGGUAAUACUUACUGGAGGUCCGAACCCACGCACGUUGAAAAGUGCGGGGAUGAGGUGUGGGUAGCGGAGAAAUUCCAAUCGAACUUGGAGAUAGCUGGUUCUCUCCGAAAUAGCUUUAGGGCUAGCCUCGAGGUAAAGAGUCAUGGAGGUAGAGCACUGUUUGGACUAGGGGCCCUUCUCGGGUUACCGAAUUCAGAUAAACUCCGAAUGCCAUGUACUUAUACUCGGGAGUCAGACUGCGAGUGAUAAGAUCCGUAGUCGAAAGGGAAACAGCCCAGACCACCAGUUAAGGUCCCCAAAUAUAUGUUAAGUGGAAAAGGAUGUGGGGUUGCUUAGACAACCAGGAUGUUGGCUUAGAAGCAGCCACCAUUGAAAGAGUGCGUAAUAGCUCACUGGUCGAGUGACCCCGCGCCGAAAAUGUACCGGGGCUAAACAUAUUACCGAAACUGUGGAUGAACCUCUUUAGAGGUUCGUGGUAGGAGAGCGUUCUAAGGGCGGUGAAGUCAGACCGGAAGGACUGGUGGAGCGCUUAGAAGUGAGAAUGCCGGUAUGAGUAGCGAAAGAAGGGUGAGAAUCCCUUCCACCGAAUAUCUAAGGUUUCCUGAGGAAGGCUCGUCCGCUCAGGGUUAGUCGGGACCUAAGCCGAGGCCGAUAGGCGUAGGCGAUGGACAACAGGUAGAGAUUCCUGUACCAGUGCUAAUUGUUUAACCGAUGGGGUGACACAGAAGGAUAGGGAAUCGCACGAAUGGAAAUGUGCGUCCAAGCAGUGAGUGUGAGAAGUAGGCAAAUCCGCUUCUCGCGAAGCAUGAGCUGUGAUGGGGAAGGAAAUUAAGUACGGAAGUUCCUGAUUUCACGCUGUCAAGAAAAGCCUCUAGGAAGAGUAGUACUGCCCGUACCGCAAACCGACACAGGUAGAUGAGGAGAGAAUCCUAAGGUGAGCGAGAGAACUCUCGUUAAGGAACUCGGCAAAAUGACCCCGUAACUUCGGGAGAAGGGGUGCUCUAUUAGGGUGCAAGCCCGAGAGAGCCGCAGUGAAUAGGCCCAGGCGACUGUUUAGCAAAAACACAGGUCUCUGCAAAACCGUAAGGUGACGUAUAGGGGCUGACGCCUGCCCGGUGCUGGAAGGUUAAGAGGAGUGCUUAGCUUCGGCGAAGGUACGAAUUGAAGCCCCAGUAAACGGCGGCCGUAACUAUAACGGUCCUAAGGUAGCGAAAUUCCUUGUCGGGUAAGUUCCGACCCGCACGAAAGGCGCAACGAUCUGGGCACUGUCUCAACGAGAGACUCGGUGAAAUUAUAGUACCUGUGAAGAUGCAGGUUACCCGCGACAGGACGGAAAGACCCCGUGGAGCUUUACUGCAACCUGAUAUGGAAUGUUUGUACCGCUUGUACAGGAUAGGUAGGAGCCGAAGAGACGUGUGCGCUAGCAUACGAGGAGGCAAUGGUGGGAUACUACCCUGGCUGUAUGACCAUUCUAACCCGCCACGCUUAGCGCGUGGGGAGACAGUGUCAGGUGGGCAGUUUGACUGGGGCGGUCGCCUCCUAAAGAGUAACGGAGGCGCCCAAAGGUUCCCUCAGAAUGGAUGGAAAUCAUUCGCAGAGUGUAAAGGCACAAGGGAGCUUGACUGCGAGACUGACAAGUCGAGCAGGGACGAAAGUCGGGCUUAGUGAUCCGGUGGUUCCGCAUGGAAGGGCCAUCGCUCAACGGAUAAAAGCUACCCCGGGGAUAACAGGCUUAUCUCCCCCAAGAGUCCACAUCGACGGGGAGGUUUGGCACCUCGAUGUCGGCUCGUCGCAUCCUGGGGCUGUAGUCGGUCCCAAGGGUUGGGCUGUUCGCCCAUUAAAGCGGCACGCGAGCUGGGUUCAGAACGUCGUGAGACAGUUCGGUCCCUAUCCGUCGCGGGCGCAGGAAAUUUGAGAGGAGCUGUCCUUAGUACGAGAGGACCGGGAUGGACACACCGCUGGUGUACCAGUUGUUCCGCCAGGAGCAUCGCUGGGUAGCUAUGUGUGGCAGGGAUAAACGCUGAAAGCAUCUAAGCGUGAAGCCCCCCUCAAGAUGAGAUUUCCCAUUUCUUCGGAAAGUAAGAUCCCUGAAAGAUGAUCAGGUAGAUAGGUUUGGAGUGGAAGUGUAGCGAUACAUGGAGCG